Molecule: ribosomal RNA, 226 nt
Filed under: uncultured bacterium
Lineage: Bacteria
Description: partial 16S ribosomal RNA
Rfam family: Bacterial small subunit ribosomal RNA
Source: RNAcentral
CCUAGCCCUUCAGAGGGGGACAACAGUUGGAAACGACUGCUAAUACCGCAUACGAUCUAACCUCGGCAUCGAGGAUGGAUGAAAGGUGGCCUCUAUUUAUAAGCUAUCACUGAAGGAGGGGAUUGCGUCUGAUUAGCUAGUUGGAGGGGUAACGGCCCACCAAGGCGAUGAUCAGUAGCCGGUCUGAGAGGAUGAACGGCCACAUUGGGACUGAGGCACGGCCCAG